GUUUCAGUUGUACAUUAUGCACAGUAGACAUUCCAUUACAUUCAAGAGUGUGUAAAAGGGUACUCGAGCGCCAGGCCUGGUGAAGGGCCAUGCAAAGCGGCACUCAGAGUCAUUGAUGCACAGGUGUGUGGGAUUGUGCGACCCGUUGAACGUGCACAUGUGGAUCUCUCCACCAGCAACGGGACGACGAGCCGACUUUGAAGUUUCAUUAAUGAUCCUUCCGCAGGUUCACCUACGGAAA
This 241-nucleotide unclassified non-coding RNA is filed under the name uncultured fungus. RNAcentral describes it as "sequence contains ITS1". The record is from RNAcentral. Lineage: Eukaryota; Fungi.